GGAGAACAAUGGAGGAAUGGGAACUAGAUUUGGAAAACAGCCAAUUUUAUCAUCAUCCUCAAAGUAAAACAUGGGUUGAGAUAAGUUCUCAGUUCCAGCUGACUUCUGCUUCUAAUGCUGUGGGAAAAUUUUCUGAUGUGAGUUAUCAAGGACCUCCUCACCAUUAAAUGCAAGUUCAAGAAACAGAAGUAAGAGAAGGCAUGGUAUGUAAAUUUACUCAAUA
This 223-nucleotide long non-coding RNA is filed under the name Chinchilla lanigera (long-tailed chinchilla). RNAcentral describes it as "lncRNA (ENSCLAG00000025451.1)". Lineage: Eukaryota; Metazoa; Chordata; Mammalia; Rodentia; Chinchillidae. The record is from RNAcentral.